This is a non-coding RNA of Podarcis muralis (Common wall lizard), 72 nucleotides long. The record is from the annotation of a RefSeq genome assembly. Lineage: Eukaryota; Metazoa; Chordata; Lepidosauria; Squamata; Lacertidae.
AGGGCCAUAGCUCAGUGGCAGAGCAUCUGCCUUUCAUGUAGAAGAUCCCAGGUUCAAUCCCUGGUGUCUCCA